CCUACGGGAGGCAGCAGUGAGGAAUAUUGGUCAAUGGACGAGAGUCUGAACCAGCCAAGUAGCGUGAAGGAUGACUGCCCUAUGGGUUGUAAACUUCUUUUAUAUGGGAAUAAAACGUUCCACGUGUGGGAUUUUGUAUGUACCAUAUGAAUAAGGAUCGGCUAACUCCGUGCCAGCAGCCGCGGUAAUACGGAGGAUCCGAGUGUUAUCCGGAUUUCUUGGGGUUAAAGGGUGCGUAGGUGGAUUGUUAAGUCAGUUGUGAAAGUUUGCGGCUCAACCGUAAAAUUGCAGUUGAAACUGGCAGUCUUGAGUACAGUAGAGGUGGGCGGAAUUCGUGGUGUAGCGGUGAAAUGCUUAGAUAUCACGAAGAACUCCGAUUGCGAAGGCAGCUCACUGGACUGCAACUGACACUGAGGCUCGAAAGUGUGGGUAUCAAACAGGAUUAGAUACCCCAGUAGUC
RNAcentral lists this ribosomal RNA (460 nucleotides) under uncultured bacterium. RNAcentral describes it as "partial 16S ribosomal RNA". It matches the Rfam family "Bacterial small subunit ribosomal RNA", at positions 338 to 795 of the family's 1533-position model. The record is from RNAcentral.